UACGUAGGGUGCAAGCGUUAAUCGGAAUGACUGGGCGUAAAGCGUGCGCAGGCGGCUUUGCAAGACAGAUGUGAAAUCCCCGGGCUCAACCUGGGAAUGGCAUUUGGGACUGCAAGGCUGGAGUGUGGCAGAGGAGACUGGAAUUCCUGGUGUAGCAGUGAAAUGCGUAGAUAUCAGGAGGAAUACCGAUGGCGAAGGCAGGUCUCUGGGCUGACACUGACGCUCAUGCACGAAAGCGUGGGGAGCAAACAGG
Molecule: ribosomal RNA, 253 nt
Filed under: uncultured bacterium
Lineage: Bacteria
Description: partial 16S ribosomal RNA
Rfam family: Bacterial small subunit ribosomal RNA
Source: RNAcentral